RNAcentral lists this ribosomal RNA (253 nucleotides) under uncultured bacterium. Its description in RNAcentral is "partial 16S ribosomal RNA". It matches the Rfam family "Bacterial small subunit ribosomal RNA", at positions 524 to 776 of the family's 1533-position model. The record is from RNAcentral.
UACGAAGGGUGCAAGCGUUACUCGGAAUUACUGGGCGUAAAGCGUGCGUAGGUGGUUUGUUAAGUCUGAUGUGAAAGCCCUGGGCUCAACCUGGGAAUGGCAUUGGAUACUGGCAGGCUAGAGUGUGGCAGAGGGUAGUGGAAUUCCUGGUGUAGCAGUGAAAUGCGUAGAGAUCAGGAGGAACAUCCGUGGCGAAGGCGACUGCCUGGGCCAACACUGACACUGAGGCACGAAAGCGUGGGGAGCAAACAGG